AGUACUACAUUGAGACACAGGUUGUGCUUCCAUCACAGUAAUUUUAUUGCAGUGGUGACAGUGAGACCUGUAACAUUU
This is a small nucleolar RNA of Phyllostomus hastatus (greater spear-nosed bat), 78 nucleotides long. RefSeq annotates it as small nucleolar RNA SNORA1. The transcript has a single exon. The record is from RefSeq and is a predicted model, not a curated record. NCBI's taxonomy places the organism in Eukaryota, Metazoa, Chordata, Mammalia, Chiroptera, Phyllostomidae.